This 748-nucleotide ribosomal RNA is filed under the name Pseudomonas monteilii. RNAcentral's name for it is "bacterial SSU rRNA". It matches the Rfam family "Bacterial small subunit ribosomal RNA", at positions 38 to 785 of the family's 1533-position model. Lineage: Bacteria; Pseudomonadati; Pseudomonadota; Gammaproteobacteria; Pseudomonadales; Pseudomonadaceae. The record is from RNAcentral.
CCCAGUAGGGCUAGUAUGCAGUCGAGCGGAUGACGGGAGCUUGCUCCUUGAUUCGCGGCGGACGGGUGAGUAAUGCCUAGGAAUCUGCCUGGUAGUGGGGGACAACGUUUCGAAAGGAACGCUAAUACCGCAUACGUCCUACGGGAGAAAGCAGGGGACCUUCGGGCCUUGCGCUAUCAGAUGAGCCUAGGUCGGAUUAGCUAGUUGGUGGGGUAAUGGCUCACCAAGGCGACGAUCCGUAACUGGUCUGAGAGGAUGAUCAGUCACACUGGAACUGAGACACGGUCCAGACUCCUACGGGAGGCAGCAGUGGGGAAUAUUGGACAAUGGGCGAAAGCCUGAUCCAGCCAUGCCGCGUGUGUGAAGAAGGUCUUCGGAUUGUAAAGCACUUUAAGUUGGGAGGAAGGGCAGUAAGUUAAUACCUUGCUGUUUUGACGUUACCGACAGAAUAAGCACCGGCUAACUCUGUGCCAGCAGCCGCGGUAAUACAGAGGGUGCAAGCGUUAAUCGGAAUUACUGGGCGUAAAGCGCGCGUAGGUGGUUCGUUAAGUUGGAUGUGAAAGCCCCGGGCUCAACCUGGGAACUGCAUCCAAAACUGGCGAGCUAGAGUACGGUAGAGGGUGGUGGAAUUUCCUGUGUAGCGGUGAAAUGCGUAGAUAUAGGAAGGAACACCAGUGGCGAAGGCGACCACCUGGACUGAUACUGACACUGAGGUGCGAAAGCGUGGGGAGCAAACAGGAUUAGAUAC